UACCUACGGGACGCAGCAGUGGGGAAUAUUGGGCAAUGGGCGCAAGCCUGACCCAGCAACGCCGCGUGAAGGAAGAAGGCUUUCGGGUUGUAAACUUCUUUUCUCAGGGACGAAGAAAGUGACGGUACCUGAGGAAUAAGCCACGGCUAACUACGUGCCAGCAGCCGCGGUAAUACGUAGGUGGCAAGCGUUAUCCGGAUUUAUUGGGUUUAAAGGGUGCGUAGGCGGGCUGCCAAGUCAGCGGUAAAAUUGCGGGGCUCAACCC
RNAcentral lists this ribosomal RNA (265 nucleotides) under uncultured bacterium. RNAcentral's name for it is "partial 16S ribosomal RNA". It matches the Rfam family "Bacterial small subunit ribosomal RNA", at positions 335 to 615 of the family's 1533-position model. The record is from RNAcentral.